This 253-nucleotide ribosomal RNA is filed under the name uncultured bacterium. Its description in RNAcentral is "partial 16S ribosomal RNA". It matches the Rfam family "Bacterial small subunit ribosomal RNA", at positions 524 to 776 of the family's 1533-position model. The record is from RNAcentral.
UACGUAGGGUGCAAGCGUUAAUCGGAAUUACUGGGCGUAAAGCGUGCGCAGGCGGUUGUGCCAGACAGAUGUGAAAUCCCCGGGCUCAACCUGGGAACUGCAUUUGUGACUGCACGGCUGGAGUGCGGCAGAGGGGGAUGGAAUUCCGCGUGUAGCAGUGAAAUGCGUAGAUAUGCGGAGGAACACCGAUGGCGAAGGCAAUCCCCUGGGCCUGCACUGACGCUCAGGCACGAAAGCGUGGGGAGCAAACAGG